AUUGAACGCUGGCGGCAUGCUUUACACAUGCAAGUCGAACGGUAACAGGCCUUCGGGUGCUGACGAGUGGCGAACGGGUGAGUAAUGCAUCGGAACGUACCCAGAGGUGGGGGGUCACGCAGCGAAAGCUGUGCUAAUACCGCAUGUGAUCUGAGGAUGAAAGCGGGGGACCGAGCAGCAAUGUUUGGCCUCGCGCCUUUGGAGCGGCCGAUGUCGGAUUAGCUAGUUGGUGGGGUAAAGGCCUACCAAGGCGACGAUCCGUAGCUGGUCUGAGAGGACGACCAGCCACACUGGGACUGAGACACGGCCCAGACUCCUACGGGAGGCAGCAGUGGGGAAUUUUGGACAAUGGGCGCAAGCCUGAUCCAGCAAUGCCGCGUGCGGGAAGAAGGCCUUCGGGUUGUAAACCGCUUUUGGCAGGAACGAAACGGUGUCCGCUAAUACCGGGCGAUAAUGACGGUACCUGCAGAAUAAGCACCGGCUAACUACGUG
Molecule: ribosomal RNA, 492 nt
Filed under: uncultured bacterium
Lineage: Bacteria
Description: partial 16S ribosomal RNA
Rfam family: Bacterial small subunit ribosomal RNA
Source: RNAcentral